RNAcentral lists this ribosomal RNA (499 nucleotides) under uncultured marine bacterium. RNAcentral's name for it is "bacterial SSU rRNA". It matches the Rfam family "Bacterial small subunit ribosomal RNA", at positions 338 to 865 of the family's 1533-position model. The record is from RNAcentral.
CUUACGGGAGGGCAGCAAUUGGGGAUUUUUGACAAUGGGGGCAAGCCCUGAUCUAGCAAUGCCGCGUGAGUGAUGAAGGCCUUAGGGUUGUAAAGCACUUUCGCCGGUGAAGAUAAUGACAGUAUCCAGAGAAGAAGCCCCGGCUAACUCCGUGCCAGCAGCCGCGGUAAUACGGAGGGGGCAAGCGUUGUUCGGAAUUACUGGGCGUAAAGGGCGUGUAGGCGGCGUUUUCAGUCAGGGGUGAAAGCCCAGGGCUCAACCCCGGAAUAGCGUUUGAUACUGAUAGGCUUGAGUCCGAAAGAGGGUAGUGGAAUUCCCAGUGUAGAGGUGAAAUUCGUAGAUAUUUGGGAAGAACACCAGUGGCGAAGGCGGCUCCCUGGCCCGAAUCUGACGCUGAGGCGCGAAAGCUGGGACAAAAGGAUUGAUACCUGGAGUCCCACCUAAACGAUAAUCCUGACUUUGGGAACAUGUUUUUCGGUUCGCCCCUAACGCAUUAAGC